Molecule: small RNA, 165 nt
Filed under: Klebsiella pneumoniae
Lineage: Bacteria; Pseudomonadati; Pseudomonadota; Gammaproteobacteria; Enterobacterales; Enterobacteriaceae
Also listed under: 3 other names
Description: RtT sRNA
Rfam family: RtT RNA
About the family: This family represents a bacterial cis-regulatory element known as RtT RNA. The exact function of RtT is unknown although it is thought that it may be involved in changing the cellular response in relation to amino acid starvation.
Source: RNAcentral
UAUUCUGCCCUACAGGGAAGGAUGAGAAGCUUCGACUAAGGUUCGACUAAGGUUCGACUAAGGUUCGACUAAGGUUCGACUCGAGCGAAGCGAGAGAACGUUGCCGCAGGCAACGGCCCGAAGGGCGAGGAGCUUUAGCGCCGAGUAAUCCUUCCCCCACCACCA